Molecule: ribosomal RNA, 494 nt
Filed under: uncultured bacterium
Lineage: Bacteria
Description: partial 16S ribosomal RNA
Rfam family: Bacterial small subunit ribosomal RNA
Source: RNAcentral
GACGAACGCUGGCGGCGUGCUUAACACAUGCAAGUCGAACGGUGAAGCGCCUUCCUUUUUGGUGGGUGUGGAUGAGUGGCGAACGGGUGAGUAACACGUGAGUAACCUGCCCCCUUCUUCUGGAUAACCGCAUGAAAGUGUGGCUAAUACGGGAUAUUCUGGGUCUGUCGCAUGAUGGGUCUGGGAAAGAUAUUGUUUCGGUGGGGGAUGGGCUCGCGGCCUAUCAGCUUGUUGGUGGGGUGAUGGCCUACCAAGGCGGUGACGGGUAGCCGGCCUGAGAGGGUGGACGGGCACACUGGGACUGAGACACGGCCCAGACUCCUACGGGAGGCAGCAGUGGGGAAUAUUGCACAAUGGGCGCAAGCCUGAUGCAGCGACGCCGCGGGAGGGAUGGAGGCCUUCGGGUUGUGAACCUCUUUCGCCAGUGAAGCAGGCCUGCCUCGUUUGUGGGUGGGUUGACGGUAGCUGGAUAAGAAGCGCCGGCUAACUACGUG